This 221-nucleotide non-coding RNA is filed under the name Sphingopyxis sp. Lineage: Bacteria; Pseudomonadati; Pseudomonadota; Alphaproteobacteria; Sphingomonadales; Sphingopyxidaceae. The record is from RNAcentral.
CCUGCGCAUGAUCGCGCCGGUGCCCGAGAGGGCUUAAAAUGGGAACGCGGUAACGGGGUUCGUCCUGAACCCCCGAAGCCGAGGCUGUCCCUGCAACUGUAAGCGGCGAGCGCGAUGCACCGGUUCGAGGCUUUCGGACCAGCCACUGGGAUCAUCCUGGGAAGGCGUGCAUCAAGCCCAGACCCGCGAGCCAGGAGACCUGCCGGCGUGGGUCGCUCAAU